UUAAGUAGCCACAGGUGUCUACUUAACGAGAUCCCGUCUGAUCUCGGAAGCUAAGCAGGGUCGGGUCUGGUUAGUACUUGGAUGGGAGACCGCCUAGGAAGACCAGGUGCUGUAGGCA
This 118-nucleotide ribosomal RNA is filed under the name Pteropus alecto (black flying fox). The record is from RNAcentral. Lineage: Eukaryota; Metazoa; Chordata; Mammalia; Chiroptera; Pteropodidae. RNAcentral also lists the same sequence under 1 other name.